Molecule: ribosomal RNA, 491 nt
Filed under: uncultured bacterium
Lineage: Bacteria
Description: partial 16S ribosomal RNA
Rfam family: Bacterial small subunit ribosomal RNA
Source: RNAcentral
GUGAACGCUGGCGGUAGGCCUAACACAUGCAAGUCGAACGGCAGCACAGUAAGAGCUUGCUCUUACGGGUGGCGAGUGGCGGACGGGUGAGGAAUACCUCGGAAUCUACUUUUUCGUGGGGGAUAACGUAGGGAAACUUACGCUAAUACCGCAUACGACCUACGGGUGAAAGCAGGGGAUCUUCGGACCUUGCGCGAUUGAAUGAGCCGAUGUCGGAUUAGCUAGUUGGCGGGGUAAAGGCCCACCAAGGCGACGAUCCGUAGCUGGUCUGAGAGGAUGAUCAGCCACACUGGAACUGAGACACGGUCCAGACUCCUACGGGAGGCAGCAGUGGGGAAUAUUGGACAAUGGGCGCAAGCCUGAUCCAGCCAUACCGCGUGGGUGAAGAAGGCCUUCGGGUUGUAAAGCCCUUUUGUUGGGAAAGAAAAGCAGCAGGUUAAUACCCCGCUGUUCUGACGGUACCCAAAGAAUAAGCACCGGCUAACUUCGUG